This is a small nuclear RNA of Equus asinus (donkey), 106 nucleotides long. Lineage: Eukaryota; Metazoa; Chordata; Mammalia; Perissodactyla; Equidae. The record is from Ensembl.
AUGCUCACCUCAGCAGCACAUAUAUUGAAAUUGAAUCAUAUAGAGAAGAUUAGCAUGGCCCCUGCACAAGGAAGACAUACAAAUUUGGGAAGCAUUCCAUACUUCU